UUCCACCCCAAGACCAUCUAUUGUUACUUCUCCCUUGGUUCUGGUCUGUGGCACUUGUCUCUAAACUGCACAUGGUUUCUGGGCAUUGUCCCUAUUUUUAUUUCUCACUGAAGUCAUUUUCUUCAUCAUUCCCACUCCUAUUUUCUCUCCACCCUCUGCCCUGAAGUCAGGGGACCUAAAAGUUUGUCACAGCCUCCCUCACUGCAACAUCAGUCCACAGAUGGGAAGUCCCAGCUUGCAGAAGUGAUGCUGGACAAUGCAAAUAAUACAAUUCUCCAUUUCCACAGUCACUCUUGGGGAAAAGGAAGGAUCCUGAUCCUGGGAAUGCUGAGGCUCCUAUUGGAUAUCAGUCAAAUUGGGUUUAAUGAGGCCUUUCCAAGGUUUUUUUAAAUGCAAUAUUGGAGAGUAUAAUUGUUGUUUAUGGGCACAUUUGCACGAGUGACUUGGCAGGUGAUUCAGUGAAAAAUACUCAGCCCAGAUGCCAUGUCCACGCUGCAAAGCAAUGCAAAGCAAAUAAAAAUGUCAAUAAGGAAUAAGCUUCUCCAGAGAACAAGCCAGCAGCAUAUUAAAGCUGACCAGAAAUCCUUUGUUGUGGGUCACUCAAGAGGAAGAUGAGCUUGUACAGUCUGCAGGCUGUGUGCUAGGAACUGGGAAUGCCUACACAAAAUUGGUGGGACAUGCUGGUAUUUUUAGCUUUCUUAUCAAUGCUUUUCAGAAUAAGUCAAGAAGAGGUUUUCAGGAGGAAAGACAGCAAGCAAAGUCCUCUUGGACAAUCCUUUGGACAAGGCUGUGGGAAAUUGGGAGCUGCUUCUCCAGAAGAUUUUACUUCUCUGUUCCUUGGACCUUUCUCAGUAAUGCUUUCCUGGCUAGGAAGCAUUAAUUGGAUUGUACCUGUACAGGUACAUCCUCAGUGGAUGUCUCCUUACAAGAUGAGUCUUACUGUGUCCAGCUCCCAGGAUCCUAAUGCUGCAGUGCCACUCAGUCCCUUUCAGGGCUCUGGUGACUGGCAGAAGAAACAAAUGAAGAAACAAAUCAUUUUUUGGUUACCAGGAGCAGAACUGGAAGCUCACACUGCCCAGCCCCAGUGCAGCCAGUCCUAAUGAUGGGACUGCUCCCAACUGACAGAAAAACCUUUAUCUUCCCUUUCACGAGAACUUUAACCCUCCCUUUAAAUAAAAGCUUGCCUGCUAAUUGGUUUGACCCCCA
Molecule: long non-coding RNA, 1206 nt
Filed under: Cyanistes caeruleus (blue tit)
Lineage: Eukaryota; Metazoa; Chordata; Aves; Passeriformes; Paridae
Description: lncRNA (ENSCCEG00000000995.1)
Source: RNAcentral